GGAAUAAUUGCUUUUCCUCAAUGAAGCUUGGUGAUGAGACUGGGGAAGAAUGGUGUGGAGGAAGUUUCGGAAUUGGGUCCUCUCUGAAACUUGGCUUUGCAGCUCCGAAAGUGACCAUACUUAUAGCUAAUUAGCUCACUUGCAACAUUUGAUGUUUGUAGGAGAAAGAUAUUGAGGGGUUGAGAUAAGGAAGGAAGCACUCUGGGCAUGCUUUGCAGUGGAACCUGAUUUUGAGGCAAUGAUUUCGGUUAGUUCAUAUCACUGGAUCUUGAUUAUUAUUCUGGAAUAUAUUUCCAU
Molecule: long non-coding RNA, 297 nt
Organism: Rosa chinensis
Lineage: Eukaryota; Viridiplantae; Streptophyta; Magnoliopsida; Rosales; Rosaceae
Exons: 3
Source: RefSeq, a predicted model, not a curated record